UACGAAGGGGGCUAGCGUUGUUCGGAAUUACUGGGCGUAAAGGGCGCGUAGGCGGCGCAACAAGUCACUUGUGAAAUCUCCGGGCUUAACUCGGAGCGGCCAAGUGAUACUGUCGUGCUGGAGUGCGGAAGGGGCUACUGGAAUUCUCGGUGUAGCGGUGAAAUGCGUAGAUAUCGAGAGGAACACCUGCGGCGAAGGCGGGUAGCUGGGCCGACACUGACGCUGAGGCGCGAAAGCUAGGGGAGCGAACGGG
RNAcentral lists this ribosomal RNA (253 nucleotides) under uncultured bacterium. Its description in RNAcentral is "partial 16S ribosomal RNA". It matches the Rfam family "Bacterial small subunit ribosomal RNA", at positions 524 to 776 of the family's 1533-position model. The record is from RNAcentral.